AGCAGCCGCGGUAAUUCCAGCUCCAAUAGCGUAUAUUAAAGUUGUUGCAGUUAAAAGCUCGUAGUUGAAUUUCGGGAUCAAAGGAUCGGUCAUGCCUUGGUAUGUACUGGUUUUAUUGGUUCUCACCUUCUAAAGAACCAUAAUGUCAUUCAUUUGAUGUUAUGGGGAAUUAGGACUGUUACCUUGAAAAAAUUAGAGUGUUUAAAGCAGGCUUACGCUUGAAUACAUUAGCAUGGAAUAAUGAAAUAGGACAUCAGAUUCUAUUUUGUUGGUUUCUAGGAUCGAUGUAAUGAUUAAUAGGGAUAGUUGGGGGCAUUAGUAUUCAAUUGUCAGAGGUGAAAUUCUUGGAUUUAUUGAAGACUAACUACUGCGAAAGCAUUUGCCAAGGAUGUUUUCAUUAAUCAAGAACGAAAGUUAGGGGAUCGAAGACGAUCAGAUACCGUCGUAGUCUUAACCAUAAACUAUGCCGACUAGGGAUCGGAUGAUGUUAAUUUUAUAAUGACUCAUUCGGCACCUUACG
RNAcentral lists this unclassified non-coding RNA (520 nucleotides) under uncultured Glomus. Its description in RNAcentral is "SSU rRNA". It matches the Rfam family "Eukaryotic small subunit ribosomal RNA", at positions 569 to 1092 of the family's 1831-position model. The record is from RNAcentral. Lineage: Eukaryota; Fungi; Glomeromycota; Glomeromycetes; Glomerales; Glomeraceae.